RNAcentral lists this ribosomal RNA (490 nucleotides) under uncultured bacterium. RNAcentral's name for it is "partial 16S ribosomal RNA". It matches the Rfam family "Bacterial small subunit ribosomal RNA", at positions 30 to 507 of the family's 1533-position model. The record is from RNAcentral.
AUUGAACGCUGGCGGCAGGCCUAACACAUGCAAGUCGAACGGUAACAGGAAGAAGCUUGCUUCUUUGCUGACGAGUGGCGGACGGGUGAGUAAUGUCUGGGAAACUGCCUGAUGGAGGGGGAUAACUACUGGAAACGGUAGCUAAUACCGCAUAACGUCGCAAGACCAAAGAGGGGGACCUUCGGGGCUCUUGCCAUCUGAUGUGCCCAGAUGGGAUUAGCUAGUAGGUGGGGUAACGGCUCACCUAGGCGACGAUCCCUAGCUGGUCUGAGAGGAUGACCAGCCACACUGGAACUGAGACACGGUCCAGACUCCUACGGGAGGCAGCAGUGGGGAAUAUUGCACAAUGGGCGCAAGCCUGAUGCAGCCAUGCCGCGUGUAUGAAGAAGGCCUUCGGGUUGUAAAGUACUUUCAGCGGGGAGGAAGGGAGUAAAGUUAAUACCUUUGCUCAUUGACGUUACCCGCAGAAGAAGCACCGGCUAACUCCGUG